Molecule: ribosomal RNA, 432 nt
Filed under: uncultured bacterium
Lineage: Bacteria
Description: partial 16S ribosomal RNA
Rfam family: Bacterial small subunit ribosomal RNA
Source: RNAcentral
AACGAACGCUGGCGGCAUGCCUAACACAUGCAAGUCGAACGAGACCUUCGGGUCUAGUGGCGCACGGGUGCGUAACGCGUGGGAACCUGCCCUUAGGUUCGGAAUAACUCCCCGAAAGGGUGCUAAUACCGGAUAAUGUCUUCGGACCAAAGAUUUAUCGCCUUUGGAUGGGCCCGCGUUGGAUUAGCUAGUUGGUAGGGUAAAAGCCUACCAAGGCGACGAUCCAUAGCUGGUCUGAGAGGCUGAUCAGCCACACUGGGACUGAGACACGGCCCAGACUCCUACGGGAGGCAGCAGUGGGGAAUAUUGGACAAUGGGCGAAAGCCUGAUCCAGCAAUGCCGCGUGAGUGAUGAAGGCCUUAGGGUUGUAAAGCUCUUUUACCCGGGAUGAUAAUGACAGUACCGGGAGAAUAAGCUCCGGCUAACUCCGUG